CGUCCUAUUAGCUAGUUGGUGAGGUAAUGGCUCACCAAGGGUACGAUGGGUAGGGGUUCUUAGUGGAAGGUCCCCCCCACUGGCACUGAGAUACGGGCCAGACUCCUACGGGAGGCAGCAGUAGGGAAUAUUGGUCAAUGGGCGCAAGCCUGAACCAGCCAUGCCGCGUGCAGGAAGAAGGCUUUUUGAGUUGUAAAAUGAUUUUGUACAGGAGCAAAAAAAUCCCUGCGGGGGUUCUUGAGAGUACUGUAAGAAUAAGCACCGGCUAAUUCCGUGCCAGCAGCCGCGGUAAUACGGGAGGUGCAAGCGUUAUCCGGUUUUAUUGGGUUUAAAGGGUGCGUAGGCGGCUUAUUAAGUCAGUUGUGAAAUCCUAGUGCUUAACGCUAGAACUGCGAUUGAUACUAUU
RNAcentral lists this ribosomal RNA (406 nucleotides) under Cardinium endosymbiont of Bemisia tabaci. RNAcentral describes it as "bacterial SSU rRNA". It matches the Rfam family "Bacterial small subunit ribosomal RNA", at positions 234 to 637 of the family's 1533-position model. Lineage: Bacteria; Pseudomonadati; Bacteroidota; Cytophagia; Cytophagales; Amoebophilaceae. The record is from RNAcentral.